RNAcentral lists this ribosomal RNA (219 nucleotides) under Mucochytrium quahogii. RNAcentral's name for it is "labyrinthulid quahog parasite QPX partial Bacterial large subunit ribosomal RNA". It matches the Rfam family "Bacterial large subunit ribosomal RNA", at positions 1690 to 1894 of the family's 2925-position model. Lineage: Eukaryota; Bigyra; Thraustochytrida; Thraustochytriidae. The record is from RNAcentral.
UCGAGAGAAUCGUGGUUAAGGAACUCGGCAAAAUGCCCCCGUAACUUCGGGAGAAGGGGGGCCUGAGGCGUGAACCCACUUGCUGGGGGAGCGUUCGAAGGCCGCAGAGACCAGGGAGAAGCGACUGUUUACUAAAAACACAGGUCCGUGCGAAGUCGCAAGACGAUGUAUACGGACUGACGCCUGCCCGGUGCUGGAAGGUUAAGAGGACCUGUUAGA